RNAcentral lists this unclassified non-coding RNA (288 nucleotides) under Hevea brasiliensis (rubber tree). The record is from RNAcentral. Lineage: Eukaryota; Viridiplantae; Streptophyta; Magnoliopsida; Malpighiales; Euphorbiaceae.
CUCUCUCUCUCUCUCUCUCUACAUGUGUGUGUGCAUGCAUGUGCAUUGAACAGUGACCCUUAAGAAUUUCUUUGUGCUGAAGCAUUGGAGCGUGUGUGCAUCAUGUGGUGCUCAGUGAUUGGUGUGGGAUAUGGGACCAAAAUGGCCAAGUCAUCAUGAUCUGUAAGGGACUGUGUUAUUAAGGCGAAAGGCAACAUUAAGGUGAUAGGAUAUCAAAUGGCCUUAGGCGAGAGGCUAGAGGUGAGUCGAGGGCUUUUUUAAAGUGGCGAGGGCUUUUUUAAAGCGAGG